This 431-nucleotide ribosomal RNA is filed under the name uncultured bacterium. RNAcentral's name for it is "partial 16S ribosomal RNA". It matches the Rfam family "Bacterial small subunit ribosomal RNA", at positions 29 to 507 of the family's 1533-position model. The record is from RNAcentral.
AACGAACGCUGGCGGCAGGCCUAACACAUGCAAGUCGAGCGCCCCGCAAGGGGCGCGGCGGACGGGUGAGUAACGCGUGGGAAUAUGCCCUUUGCUACGGAAUAGUCUCGGGAAACUGGGGGUAAUACCGUAUACGCCCUUUGGGGGAAAGAUUUAUCGGCGAAGGAUUAGCCCGCGUUGGAUUAGGUAGUUGGUGGGGUAAUGGCCUACCAAGCCGACGAUCCAUAGCUGGUUUGAGAGGAUGAUCAGCCACACUGGGACUGAGACACGGCCCAGACUCCUACGGGAGGGAGCAGUGGGGAAUCUUAGACAAUGGCGGCAACCCUGAUCUAGCCAUGCCGCGUGAGUGAUGAAGGCCUUAGGGUUGUAAAGCUCUUUCAGCUGGGAAGAUACUGACGGUACCAGCAGAAGAAGCCCCGGCUAACUCCGUG